This 538-nucleotide ribosomal RNA is filed under the name uncultured bacterium. RNAcentral describes it as "bacterial SSU rRNA". It matches the Rfam family "Bacterial small subunit ribosomal RNA", at positions 777 to 1313 of the family's 1533-position model. The record is from RNAcentral.
AAUAGAUACCCGGGUAGUCCACGCCGUAAACGAUGAGUGCUAAGUGUUAGGGGGUUUCCGCCCCUUAGUGCUGCAGCUAACGCAUUAAGCACUCCGCCUGGGGAGUACGGCCGCAAGGCUGAAACUCAAAGGAAUUGACGGGGGCCCGCACAAGCGGUGGAGCAUGUGGUUUAAUUCGAAGCAACGCGAAGAACCUUACCAGGUCUUGACAUCCUCUGAAAAUCCUAGAGAUAGGACGUUUCCCUUCGGGGAACAGAGUGACAGGUGGUGCAUGGUUGUCGUCAGCUCGUGUCGUGAGAUGUUGGGUUAAGUCCCGCAACGAGCGCAACCCUUGAUCUUAGUUGCCAGCAUUCAGUUGGGCACUCUAAGGUGACUGCCGGUGACAAACCGGAGGAAGGUGGGGAUGACGUCAAAUCAUCAUGCCCCUUAUGACCUGGGCUACACACGUGCUACAAUGGAUGGUACAAAGGGCUGCAAGACCGCGAGGUUUAGCCAAUCCCAUAAAACCAUUCUCAGUUCGGAUUGCAGGCUGCAACCG